Long non-coding RNA from Fukomys damarensis (Damara mole-rat), 2387 nucleotides. The record is from Ensembl. NCBI's taxonomy places the organism in Eukaryota, Metazoa, Chordata, Mammalia, Rodentia, Bathyergidae.
ACUAUUCCUGCGCGCGAAGCAAGGGGAAGAGUACGGGUCGGGAGACGGAACAGCGAGAAGACGAUGGGACGGGCCCCUUCCUCAAGGAGCCCCCGAAGUACUCAAAUGCGCCAAUCCCACUGUCCUCAAGCCCUGGAAGCUGCUCAGGCAUGGAGAAAAUUUCCUGCCGGCGUCUGUGGUCCUGGACCCUCCGCUCAGCAGCUCCCCUUCAGGACCCGAGCUGGGUGGGUGUCCAGGUCUCCAGUUCUCUUGGCUGCUGAGGAGCGGAAUCCCAGAUGUUUGAACUGGAACAGAAGUGAGUCGUGUUCCUUGGAGUGACAUUAUUACAGCGUGCAAAGAGGGAUUUGAAUGUGUAACUUAAUCACUUGGAUAAAUUUCCACCAUGGCCUUGCACCAUGGUGCACCCUCUGGAGUCAGCUUACCAGGGACUGGACCCUUUGAAGCUGAGAACUAAAAUACAUUUCUCCUUCUUUAAACUGUGGGUGUUAGGUAUUUGUCCCAGCAACAGGAAAGCUGACCAACACGCUCACUGAGGAAGGCCAGUCUUCUUCACAACGUUUUUCCUUCAGUACUCAAACUCCUCCAUUUUGCCUCUUCCUGUCCUGAGCCUGAGGAGAUUUGUGUGGGGCAAGGUUGGUCCCAAGAGCCCUUCCUGCACCUGGAUGUUUAGCAAUGACAAACUGCACUAAUGUGAGUUUGAACCACAUAAAAUACCCACUAAACCCAGACGAGUGGUUUUAGAGCUGACUCCUGCUCUCUUUACCUGGGUCCUGGAACUGCUCCCAGAAACCCCAAACCAUGAGCACAGGGAAAAAGGUUUCUCAGGAAGCCACAGUGGAAAGGACAACGUCUUAACAACACUGUACUUCUGCAGAGCUGCAGACAGAAUGCACGACCAUGGAAACACACCAUGUGGGCUCGUCGCACGGUCCGGGGAAGGCUCGGCGGGAAGGGGCCUCAUACUAUAAGCCUGUGGCUUCAUGGAGAAUCUGCCUCUGUUCAUCAGGAAAGCUCAACUUUCAGUCAGAUUUUCUGGGAAAUCCUUUCACAGAACAGAGACUUGUUGCUUAAUUUAUAAGUGUGUGCGUUGAGAUAUUUCCAUGUCUGGUGCCUAAAACCGGAGCAACCCCUGUAUUUAAGGGGUGACAACUCUAUGCCUGAUGACAGAUGGGGCCGGGGGUGGCAGCUCCGGGUGCUUCCGGAAUUGCUUCGAGGGCGCAGCAGCCCAAGGGGGCCUGAGCAGGGACAUGGGGUGAGUGAGGCCCCCGGUGACCACAGCAGCUGACAGGGUCAAGGAUGGCAGGAAGGGAGGUAACGGAGCAACCGGCCCCUCCGGCCUCCACACUGUAAAUCCUCUUCCUGUCUGCCUCCAGCUCCUCCCCGCCCAAAGCAGCCCCAGGAAGGCCUCACUCACACCAUGUGGGCCUUGGGCCUGCAGCCAGGAGGCACACCUGGCCCAGUUCUGCUUAUCACUGCACCCUUGCCAUCCGGAGCAUCUGGGCUCUUCUUCACUCCCAAGGCUGUGGGUGAAGAGGGCGCCACAGAGCGCUUGCUACAGAGCUGGGCCCAGGCUUGUUUCCCAUUUUUAUAAAUGACCAAAAGGUUAGCUUAGAUCAGAUCAGUUAAAUCGUAGCAUUCUUAAUUUUGCCUGUUAAAGGUGGCUGCUUUGAGAAUGAAUGGUUUCAGAAAACCAGGAAAUGAUGAAUGAAUUAAUUGGAAAAUAUUAAAAUCAAUGAAGCUUUGAGAAUCGCCUUUGUCAGCUCUGUGACAAACUCCUUUUUGUGUGAAUUUCAAAAACUCGCCCCAGGACGAGUUCCUCAGAUGCCUAUCUCUGUAAUGAACAGGAGGUUUGAAAAUGCACCCUGAUUCUGCAGGGCUUUAUUGCUUUUCAAGAUGGAACAUUUUUCGCUGUCAAGAAAGCAACCACCACUGCAUCCCUCUUUAAUUCCCAUGGCAAUGAGGGCCCAGGCAGGUGGACUGCAGCACCAUGGGCUUUAGCUCACUCAGAGGGGGACAGCAAGACCGCUGGGCUCUCGGAAGAAAGGAGCCUGGUGCGGCCCUCUCACCAGCGCGACUCCAAGGGCCUCAUCGGAACCACACGGCACUAUUCGCCCCUCCAUCUAAACAUCACACGAGUGAGGGUAAGUUUUUUCUAGUUCACUUCCAUGCUCUUACACCCUUUUAUGUAACUGAUGCCAGAGAUGUAUGUAAAUAAACAUUCGCAAGGUCCUAAAGAGUUAUAAAAAGCACCACUGAAGCUCACAUUUUAAAAAUCAGUAUUGUAGUAGGAAGGAAAAUGCACUGCUUUUGAACAACCUUUCAUUUAAAAAUAAUCUCAAACUUAGAAGUUUUAAAAGUUAUACCCAAAAAUCCUAGGUACCCUUCAC